RNAcentral lists this non-coding RNA (21 nucleotides) under Arabidopsis thaliana (thale cress). The record is from RNAcentral. Lineage: Eukaryota; Viridiplantae; Streptophyta; Magnoliopsida; Brassicales; Brassicaceae.
UUGACCCGUCGAGCAUGUAGC